AGUGAACGCUGGCGGUAGGCCUAACACAUGCAAGUCGAACGGCAGCACAGUAAGAGCUUGCUCUUACGGGUGGCGAGUGGCGGACGGGUGAGGAAUACAUCGGAAUCUACUUUUUCGUGGGGGAUAACGUAGGGAAACUUACGCUAAUACCGCAUACGACCUACGGGUUAAAGCAGGAGAUCUUCGGACCUUGCGCGAUUGAAUGAGCCGAUGUCGGAUUAGCUAGUUGGCGGGGUAAAGGCCCACCAAGGCGACGAUCCGUAGCUGGUCUGAGAGGAUGAUCAGCCACACUGGAACUGAGACACGGUCCAGACUCCUACGGGAGGCAGCAGUGGGGAAUAUUGGACAAUGGGCGCAAGCCUGAUCCAGCCAUACCGCGUGGGUGAAGAAGGCCUUCGGGUUGUAAAGCCCUGUUGUUGGGAAAGAAAAGCAGCAGGUUAAUACCCCGCUGUUCUGACGGUACCCAAAGAAUAAGCACCGGCUAACUUCGUG
RNAcentral lists this ribosomal RNA (492 nucleotides) under uncultured bacterium. Its description in RNAcentral is "partial 16S ribosomal RNA". It matches the Rfam family "Bacterial small subunit ribosomal RNA", at positions 29 to 507 of the family's 1533-position model. The record is from RNAcentral.